CACAGCUCACAAGGCUCAGUCGUCCUCCAUCCUUCCCCGUCCUUUGGUGCCUGUUUGCAAGAUGUGCAGAAACACCAGAGGGCCAGCGGAGACCCUCCUUUUACUGAAUGCUGGCAGCCUCCUGAGAACCACGUCUGCCAGCAGUGGGGAGCGGAGAGAGUGGACGAGCAUGGGCGACUGAGGUCCCAAAUGGCGCGAGCCGCUGGGCCCUGUGCACAGAUGGGCCUGCCUGCUUGUUCCGACGUCUCAGGCUUGAUUGAAGCUGGAAGAAACCAAGGACAAUGUGUCCUUUAGAAGUGUAAGGUCAGAAGGUGCCCUGACUCCAGCCGACCUGGAAAAGGACAUGUCCUGCAUAUCUGGAGGUGACCCACACGGUCCAGGAAAGAUCGGCUGCCUUGCCUGCAUCCCAGGGCGCUUCCCGGCCUCUGUUAAGAGGCGUCCAUUGCAUCCACAUGAUUUCUUUUGCUCCACUAUUUCCAGGCAGAGUAUGACUCCCUCUUGACAAGCUAUUUCCAGGCACAGUAUGACUCCCUCUUGAAGCUAGAAUGCCCUGCAAACCCGGGAUGGACUUCUCUCCCCUUUCAAAGAUCGAGUGAAGUUUGCAAAUGUGAAAGGAAGGAAUUGCGUUUCCAGCGGUAACCUUUGAAGGGGAACGAAAUUGUCACAGGACGUCAGGAGCCAUGUCGGGGAGCACGGUGUCCUCUGAGUCUCAACACCCCUUGCUUCCCGCUUGGUGAUGGUCGAUGGCUGUGUCCAGGACCUCUCAGGCCCUGGGCCCUGGUUGCUGCGGUGGAAGCUGCCUGUUCAGGCAUCAUCUCUAUCACCCCUUGAAGGGAGCCAAAGAGGUGUUUGCCAGUUGGAUGUUUUAUCUUGACUUGUCUUUCCUGAUUCUUUGUUAGAACACCCCCAGGGCUUGGUUUUUGUUCUCAACCUGUGAUUAGAAAUAAGAUCCUAAAGUGUCAGACCUGGAAGGCCCAUGAGAGCUGAGGAGAUCAAAUGGCAUGGGGUGCCCGGAGCUUGGGAGAUCAGAUGACCUGGGGCACCCCUGAGGGCUCGGGAGAUCAAAUGGCCUGGGGUGCCUAGAGCCAGUGGUGGCCUCCUCUGCAGCUCCUUCCUCUGUCCUACCCACCACAGAGUCCCUGCUGGCCCCUCCGCCACCACAGGUCCCCUGAGCAUUGCUGGGUUUGUUUCUCCAGCUCCUCCUGCUUCCUGCAGGAGCAGUUCCCAGAGGGGCGAUUUCUCCAGCCUGCCUGGUUGGUUGUGUGGAUUGGUUAUAGUUGCUCUUUCGGGCGACCGCAGACCCUCUGAAGGCCGUGGCCGUGGGUGUGGCUCUAUGGUCACCUCUCUCUUCUCCUCUCCCAGGUCGCGUCUCCUUCUUCACCUCGGGGUCCGAGAACCUGCACCGGGUGGAGAAGGUCCACUGGGGCACCCGUUACGCCAUCACCAUCGCCUUCAGCUGCAACCCUGACCAUGGCAUUGAGGACCCAGCGUUCCUGUAGCCGGCAGCCGAGCCAAGGUAACUUCAGGAGGGCCUGUGUGGAGGCAGCCGCGCCAGUCGUGCGCCCGCCCCCACGUCCACCCACUCCCGUUGCACAGAGUGCCUUAGGAAUUCUCUGAUUUUGAUUUGCUGAUGUGUUAAUCUUUUCAUCUGUGAGUAAAUGGAGGGAACCAGCUUUUCACUUCUCCAGCAUUGUGUGUGCUUGGGCUGUAGGCCUGGGAGCCUGAGCUGGAGGCCAGCCCCUCCUUCAGGAAAGGGACCCAGCAGGACGGGGCGCAAGUCCCCAUCUGUGAACGGACGGGACUCAUCCACCGAGGCCUCGUCCAGGUUCAGCAACCCCCUGGCCCAUCAAAGACUGGCUAAAGCAUCAGCCAUAAAUGGGGACAAACGUGGGGCCAGCAGCUUCCGCUUGGGGUCUCGGCAUCAGCAAACCGCGGCAGCUUUGGAGAAGGGUCCGUGAGUGGCGGCUCUGGAGGCAGCAACGGGGUCCUUUGGGGUGGGUGGGAGUUCUGCUGGAUUCAGGUGGAGGUGAACAUCUGCCGUUCCCACAGACCUGCGUGCACCCCCAAUGCUGCCGGCCCACGAAUCACCAUGGGCACCACGGCCCCACCACGCCAGGCUUGGCCCUGUCAGCGGCCAGCAUCCCGAGGGCCAGGGUCCGAGUGUCCUCACCAAGGAGGCUCUUGGUGUCACUGUGCCGGCCCCCGUGGGCCUUCUGCUGGGUCAAGGGUAGGUCUCCUCUUCCCCUUUUGCCCUGGCAUUAAACUCAUGGUCAGGCUGGGCACGGUGGCUCACACCUGUAAUCUCAGCACUGCAGGAGGCCGAAGCAGGAGGAUCACUUGAGGUCAGGAGUUCAAGACCAGCCUGGCCAACAUGGUGAAACCCUGUCUCUACUAAAAAUGCAAAAACAAAUUAGCCAGGCGUGGUGGCGCAAGCCUAUAAUCCCAGCUACUGGGGAGGCUGAGGCAGGAGAAUCACUUGAACCCAGGGGGCAGAGGAGGUUGCAGUGAGCCGAGAUCGUGCCACUGCACUCCAGCCUGGGUAACAGAGUGAGACUCCAUCUUAAAAAUAUAAAAAUAAAGUAGUAGUCAGAGGAGCCCCGAAUAGACCAGCUGUGGAGAGGCCUGGGUGGGGUGGCUGGCAGGGAGGGCAGGCCAAGCCCAGUUUCUGCCCACAGUCACCUCGAGGUGACUGUCCAGGGGUUUGGGCACCUUCCCGGGAGGGGGACGGCUGCCCACCCUGAGUGGUGUCGAAGCUGGGCUCGCUCUCCUGGAUGCCCUGACCCAGCUGCCUGGGGAGAGCCCUGGGCCCUUCCUCCCUCGGCCCCUCCUGCCUCGGUCCCUCCUCCCUCAGCCUGUCUGGCAUAGAUCCAUCUUCCCCAGCCCCUGGCACAGGUGCCUCUGACUGGAGGAGACCCCACCUGUGGCCUGGGAGCUGCUCUGGGGGUUGAUAAAGAAAGGGGCAGCAUUCCUGGGCCCUGGGAAGGAGCGGGCAUGAGGCCAGCUGAGGCAUGGUGACCCCUGGGUACGGGGGACUUGGGGGCUGUACCUCGGUUUGCCCAGGGCCCCUCCUGCACCACGGGCCGUCUCAGGGCUACUGGGGCCACGGGCCACAUGCGGAGGACGGCGUGGGAUAGGCUCCCUGGGUCCACAGCUUCUGCCCGUGUAUAGGGAGCCCUCGUUGGUCAGGGCUGCAGACUCUGGGCAGGUGGGGCAGGAACCCUGAGGCUCCCACGCCCUCCCAUGGCCUCUGACGAGGCACGAUUCUGAAGGACUCCAUGGAUCUGGGAGGAUGAGGCCCACCUCCGGUUGGUGGACAAAGCCGUCCUCGCGGGGCCGGCUGCUUCACGGACGCUCUCCGGGUCGGGCCGGUGGGCCCCAUCCUGGGUGGGAAGUCGCCCGAGCCUGGGCCGCCCUUGAGCUUCUCCCAGUCUUGACUUUCCGGAGGGUCCGUGGCUGUGGUCACAGUCGGGGCAGGUGGAAAAUGCUGCAUGGAAACUUGAUCCUGUCACCUUGGAGUAAAUGAUGAUGUCGCCGGCUUCUCGCCACAUCUAAAGGAUAAAUGCAUUUGAAGAAAGUGGGUGUUGGGUUUAUUAUGGGUUAAAGUGCUUUUGAAAUAAGUAAAUUAUUAGUUUGAUUUUCA
This 3640-nucleotide small RNA is filed under the name Pongo abelii (Sumatran orangutan). RNAcentral's name for it is "retained intron". Lineage: Eukaryota; Metazoa; Chordata; Mammalia; Primates; Hominidae. The record is from RNAcentral.